UACGUAGGGGGCUAGCGUUGUCCGGAAUCAUUGGGCGUAAAGCGCGUGUAGGCGGUCCGGUAAGUCCGCUGUGAAAGUCGGGGGCUCAACCCUCGGAUGCCGGUGGAUACUGUCGGGCUUGAGUACGGAAGAGGCGAGUGGAAUUCCUGGUGUAGCGGUGAAAUGCGCAGAUAUCAGGAGGAACACCAAUUGCGAAGGCAGCUCGCUGGGACGUUACUGACGCUGAGGAACGAAAGCUAGGGGAGCGAACGGG
RNAcentral lists this ribosomal RNA (253 nucleotides) under uncultured bacterium. RNAcentral describes it as "partial 16S ribosomal RNA". It matches the Rfam family "Bacterial small subunit ribosomal RNA", at positions 524 to 776 of the family's 1533-position model. The record is from RNAcentral.